This 377-nucleotide long non-coding RNA is filed under the name Musa acuminata (dwarf banana). Its description in RNAcentral is "long non-coding RNA (MACU_LNC002809)". The record is from RNAcentral. Lineage: Eukaryota; Viridiplantae; Streptophyta; Magnoliopsida; Zingiberales; Musaceae.
GAGUACUUGGUGAAGUGGCGACAGCUUCCCCGAACUGAAGCCAGUUGGGAGCCUGAAGACGCCCUACGACAUGAAGAAGAAGUCAUCAACAACUACCAACAAGCGUCGACGAGGGCGUCGAUAGUUUAAGUGGGGGAGAAUGUCACGAGCAGUCGUCGCGCACCCGCAACAACUCCGUUCAACGAACCGUUCGUCACUCACACCUACAUGUACAGUUGCUUGACAGCAUGUUUUCUCUUGGUUUUGGGUCAUUUUGCUUGUAAAAAUGUAAGUUCGAACAAGCUGCAGCGUUACAAAGCGAUCGCUCACCGAACCGAGCAAAACAGCCCCAAAACAGCUUCGUUUUCGCGUGCCGUGGGCUGAUUUCUGCAAUCUGC